Chroicocephalus ridibundus (black-headed gull) is the source of this 751-nucleotide long non-coding RNA. RefSeq lists it as uncharacterized. The record is from RefSeq and is a predicted model, not a curated record. NCBI's taxonomy places the organism in Eukaryota, Metazoa, Chordata, Aves, Charadriiformes, Laridae. The transcript is spliced from 3 exons.
UUGCCAUUGGUCUCGAUACAGCUGUCAUUUUUACCCCUUGGGCUCCCCGAUGCCUGAGAGAUGUUUGGAAAGUCAAGUGGAGAAAUUGGGAUUCUUAACACCUCCUGUGCUCAGGGUGUAGAUGCCUUCUGAGAAGUGCAAGCAAGAAGUUUGGAGCAGACCCCGCUGAGCUCGCUGCGAUCAUCACCACAGGAUCUGGUUCUCCCUGUGACUCCAGCUGUAGGUUGCCACCACGGGUUCCCCUCCUCUGUGUGAUCCCCUCCACAUGCCCUGAGGUUCUACCUCUCUGUAUCUAAAUCCACCUUAUUUAUUCCUAUGUGAAGCAGGAGGUGCCUUCUGCAAACUCUGAGCCUCUGGAAGGUUGCACAAAGCAAAUGAAUAUCCUCCAUCACUUCUUCUGUUACACAAUGCCCAGAUGCAAAACCUUCAGGUUUCUGAUGGUCAGUAGCAGUAGGAGAAGAAGAGCCAGGUGGAGAUUGGUGUGCUGCACCUUCUACAGCCCAAGGGAAAUGGAGAACUUGUGAGUGGAACAGAAAGCCAACCUUCAACAUACAUCAAAGAAAGUUUAAACUACCUACGUCAAAGGUGUCUGUCCUUGCUGGAAAAUGUUUUAUGGCUCUUGCAGUAGUGAAGAAUUUGGAAAAGGUGACAUCGUUUCAGCUUAUUUCAGUUCCUAAAGAAAGUCAACAAGCCCUGGCGUUACUGGAUAUCCACUCUGUGUGACUGUGACUGCACAAAAGAUGGACAGAGA